UUACGGGGUGUUGUGAUAAAUUAGUCGACGGGAGGUAUAGCUGUUACGAAGGGUUGUUUUCUUUAAACGGGUGGGGUGAUGAGAUCCCUUCUGUGCUUAUAUCAAGUAUUUACCUGUUUUUUACUAAGGCUAAGGUUACCUUUGUUUAAUGAUAAUGUUAAAAUAUCUGGUUUAUUCUGUUUAGAUUAAGUGGAGACCCUUCGUAGUCUAAUUGUUUGUAAUUAUCUAUGAGUUAAUUAGUAAUUAUAUUGAUUCGAAUCAAUCUCGGGCCUAGCCCAACUGUUUAUUAAAAACAUUUCUGCCUAUAAAUAUGGGCAGUAUGACCUGCCCGGUGUGGUAUUAACGGCCGCAGUAUUAUGACUGUGCGAAGGUAGCAUAAUUAAUUGCCCUAUAAUUGAGGGCUUGUUUGAAGGGUUUAAUGGGGUUAGAGCCAAGAUUUGGGUCGUAUGUGAACUUAAUGUCGUGGGUAAAGAAUCCACGAGGAUUAGUUAGACGGAAAGACCCCAGGAUCUUUCAUUUUGUCUGGGGCAGAUUAAACUUUUUUAGUUUAUUUGGGACCCUUGGAUUACAGAGUUAAGUUACCCUGGGGAUAACAGAGUAAUAGUUUAUAAGAGAUCUCAUCGAUUAAACUGAUUGCUACCUCGAUGUUGACUUGGGUAAGCUUAGGAGCGCAGUAGUUUUUAGGCACGGUCUGUUCGACCUGUAGACCCUCAUGAGUUGAGUUAAGACCGGCGUAA
RNAcentral lists this ribosomal RNA (737 nucleotides) under Khawia sinensis. RNAcentral's name for it is "partial large subunit ribosomal RNA". It matches the Rfam family "Bacterial large subunit ribosomal RNA", at positions 1269 to 2624 of the family's 2925-position model. The record is from RNAcentral. Lineage: Eukaryota; Metazoa; Platyhelminthes; Cestoda; Caryophyllidea; Lytocestidae.